RNAcentral lists this long non-coding RNA (1496 nucleotides) under Cyanistes caeruleus (blue tit). RNAcentral describes it as "lncRNA (ENSCCEG00000006104.1)". Lineage: Eukaryota; Metazoa; Chordata; Aves; Passeriformes; Paridae. The record is from RNAcentral.
AUGGCACAGCCAAUUCCCGGCUGGAAUUCCCGGCUGGCACAUCUGGAAUUCCCGCCUGGAAUCCGCUCCCUAAAGGGUGCCGCCGCUGGAAUUCCCGCCCCCAUUCCCAUCCUUUCCCUCCUCCCAGUUUUCCCGGCCCCUCCUCCUCGGUCCCGGGGCUCUCCCGCUGUCAGGGAGAGCCGGGAAAAGCUUUGGGAUCGGGGCCGGGAUUUGGGAUCGGCGCUUCCCGAUGAUUCCAUGGCCAUUCCCAGCGGGAUUCUCCUGGCCUGCUCCCUCUUCCUCCUGCCCGGGAGCCGCUUUUCCCGGGAUAAUUGGAUCCAUGUGUGGCCGCAGCGAUGGAUGCGGAGCCGCCUCUGGAAUGGGAUCCUGGAAAAAUCCGGGAGCUGGCGGAGCCUCGGGAAUUUCCCCCUCUGGACACGGCGGAUUUAUGGAAACAUUCCCGGAUUUUCGCUCCGCUCUCCCGGAUUUUUUUUCCUCAUCCUUGGAUGGUUCUGGGCAGGGAUUUCCAUCCUGGAAAAUUCCCAAUGGAAUUUUCUCUAUCCAGGGAUUUCCAUCCUGGAAAAUUCCUGCUGGAAUUUUCUCUCUCCAGGGAUUUGGGUCUUUCAGGAAUUUUCCCCCUCUGGAAUUUUCUGUAUCCAGGGAUUUUCCAUCCUCGGGGGUUUCUGCUCUUGGAAUUUUCUCUCUUGGAAUUUUCUCUAUCCAGGGAUUUGUGUCCUUUAGGAAUUUCCCCCUCUGGAAUUUUCUGUAUCCAGGGAUUUUCCAUCCUGGAAAAUUUGGGGGAAAUGGGGAAAAGUGGGAAAAAAUGGGAAAACUGCAGAAAAUGGGGAAAAUGGGAAAAAAUGGAAAACUGGGAAAAAUGGAAAACUAGGAAAAAAUGGGAAAACUGCUGAAAAAUGGGAAAAGUGGGAGAAAAUGGGGAAAACCGGGAAAACUGGGAAAAACUGGGAAAAGCGGGAGCUUCCUGAGCCGCUGGGACAAAAGGAGCUGGAAAGAAUUUUGGGAUAAGGAGGGGGAAAUUCCGACUUUUUUUUUUUUUUUUUUUUUUUUUCCCGAUUUUUUUUUUUUUCCCAGGAUUCGGGAAUUCCUUCAACGUGGACACCGAGAGGCCCCGGAUCAUUCCGGGAUCCCGGGAAUCUUUCUUUGGAUACACGGUGCAGCAGCACGACAUCGGCGGCAAGAAAUGGUGAGGGGGCUCCGGAAAAGCGGGAAUUCCGAUGGGAAUUCCGAUGGGAAUUCCGGCGGGAAUGAUCCCGAUCCACCCCAAAUCUCCUGCGGAAUUCCUGGGAAUUGCUGGGCCGGGCUGAGGCUGCUCCUGGAAAAGGUUUUCCUUAAAAAAAAACCGAGGAAUUUUAGGUGGGAAUAUUGGGAAUUUGGGAAUCGUGGAUUCCUUGGAGCACCUCGGGAAUUGCUGGAAUGGAUCCCUCGGGAAUCUGCGCCCGGAGCGGCCCCGGGUUCAGUUCCCAGGGAGGGGGCGGGGCCUGGAGAUCCAGCGGGAA